AACGAACGCUGGCGGCAUGCCUAACACAUGCAAGUCGAACGAGACCUUCGGGUCUAGUGGCGCACGGGUGCGUAACGCGUGGGAACCUGCCCUUAGGUUCGGAAUAACUCCCCGAAAGGGGUGCUAAUACCGGAUAAUGUCUUCGGACCAAAGAUUUAUCGCCUUUGGAUGGGCCCGCGUUGGAUUAGCUGGUUGGUAGGGUAAAAGCCUACCAAGGCGACGAUCCAUAGCUGGUCUGAGAGGAUGAUCAGCCACACUGGGACUGAGACACGGCCCAGACUCCUACGGGAGGCAGCAGUGGGGAAUAUUGGAAAAUGGGCGAAAGCCUGAUCCAGCAAUGCCGCGUGAGUGAUGAAGGCCUUAGGGUUGUAAAGCUCUUUUACCCGGGAUGAUAAUGACAGUACCGGGAGAAUAAGCUCCGGCUAACUCCGUG
This 433-nucleotide ribosomal RNA is filed under the name uncultured bacterium. RNAcentral's name for it is "partial 16S ribosomal RNA". It matches the Rfam family "Bacterial small subunit ribosomal RNA", at positions 29 to 507 of the family's 1533-position model. The record is from RNAcentral.